GAUGAACGCUGACAGAAUGCUUAACACAUGCAAGUCGAUGGGGAAGUGGUGCUUGCACCAUGGUAACCAUGGCGGACGGGUGAGUAACGCGUAAGGAACUUGCCUGCGGGACUGGGAUAACAGCAGGAAACUGCUGAUAAUACCGGAUAAGGUCAUUAAGCUGCAUAGCUUAGUGAUGAAAGGAGACGCCUGCGGAGAGCCUUGCGUCCUAUUAGCUAGUUGGAGGGGUAACGGCCCACCAAGGCGAAGAUAGGUAGCCGGCCUGAGAGGGUGGACGGCCACAAGGGGACUGAGAUACGGCCCUUACUCCUACGGGAGGCAGCAGUGGGGAAUAUUGGACAAUGGGGGCAACCCUGAUCCAGCAAUUCUGUGUGCACGAAGACGGCUUUCGGAUUGUAAAGUGCUUUCAGCAGGGAAGAAGGAAGUGACGGUACCUGCAGAAGAAGCGACGGCUAAAUACGUG
Molecule: ribosomal RNA, 463 nt
Filed under: uncultured bacterium
Lineage: Bacteria
Description: partial 16S ribosomal RNA
Rfam family: Bacterial small subunit ribosomal RNA
Source: RNAcentral